AGCUUUGCGCAGUGGCAGUAUCGUAGCCAAUGAGGUUUAUCCGAGGCGCGAUUAUUGCUAAUUGAAAAAAUAUGUCAUUUCAGGGGUGCCUGAGUGGCUCAGUCGGUUGGGCGUCUGCCUUCGGCUUGGGUCAUGAUCC
This is a small nuclear RNA of Mustela erminea (ermine), 139 nucleotides long. RefSeq annotates it as U4 spliceosomal RNA. NCBI's taxonomy places the organism in Eukaryota, Metazoa, Chordata, Mammalia, Carnivora, Mustelidae. The record is from RefSeq and is a predicted model, not a curated record. The transcript has a single exon.